CCGUCUACUCUUGGACAGCCUUCUGAAAGGAAGAUUAAUACAAGAUGGCAUCAUGAGUCCGCAUGUUCACAUGAUUAAAGGUAUUCCGGUAGACGAUGGGGAUGCGUUCCAUUAGAUAGUAGGCGGGGUAACGGCCCACCUAGUCUUCGAUGGAUAGGGGUUCUGAGAGGAAGGUCCCCCACAUUGGAACUGAGACACGGUCCAAACUCCUACGGGAGGCAGCAGUGAGGAAUAUUGGUCAAUGGGCGAGAGCCUGAACCAGCCAAGUAGCGUGAAGGAUGACUGCCCUAUGGGUUGUAAACUUCUUUUAUAAAGGAAUAAAGUCGGGUAUGGAUACCCGUUCGCAUGUACUUUAUGAAUAAGGAUCGGCUAACUCCGUGCCAGCAGCCGCGGUAAUACGGAGGAUCCGAGCGUUAUCCGGAUUUAUUGGGUUUAAAGGGAGCGUAGAUGGAUGUUUAAGUCAGUUGUGAAAGUUUGCGGCUCAACCGUAAAAUUGCAGUUGAUACUGGAUAUCUUGAGUGCAGUUGAGGCAGGCGGAAUUCGUGGUGUAGCGGUGAAAUGCUUAGAUAUCACGAAGAACUCCGAUUGCGAAGGCAGCCUGCUAAGCUGCAACUGACAUUGAGGCUCGAAAGUGUGGGUAUCAAACUGGAUUAGAUACCCUGGUAGUCCACACGGUAAACGAUGAAUACUCGCUGUUUGCGAUAUACUGCAAGCGGCC
RNAcentral lists this ribosomal RNA (718 nucleotides) under uncultured bacterium. Its description in RNAcentral is "bacterial SSU rRNA". It matches the Rfam family "Bacterial small subunit ribosomal RNA", at positions 129 to 848 of the family's 1533-position model. The record is from RNAcentral.